RNAcentral lists this ribosomal RNA (1073 nucleotides) under uncultured bacterium. Its description in RNAcentral is "bacterial SSU rRNA". It matches the Rfam family "Bacterial small subunit ribosomal RNA", at positions 62 to 1136 of the family's 1533-position model. The record is from RNAcentral.
UCGAGGGGUAACAGAAAAGCUUGCUUUUGCUGACGACCGGCGCACGGGUGCGUAACGCGUAUGCAACCUACCUCAUACUGGAGGAUAGCCCCUGGAAACGGGGAUUAAUACUCCAUAGUAUCACAAUUUCGCAUGUUAUUGUGAUUAAAGUUUUUCGGUAUGAGAUGGGCAUGCGUCCCAUUAGCUUGUUGGUGAGGUAACGGCUCACCAAGGCAACGAUGGGUAGGGGGCCUGAGAGGGUGGUCCCCCACACUGGUACUGAGACACGGACCAGACUCCUACGGGAGGCAGCAGUGAGGAAUAUUGGUCAAUGGAGGAAACUCUGAACCAGCCAUGCCGCGUGAAGGAUGACGGCCCUAUGGGUUGUAAACUUCUUUUAUAGAGGAAGAAACUUGUCUACGUGUAGACAACUGACGGUACUCUACGAAUAAGGAUCGGCUAACUCCGUGCCAGCAGCCGCGGUAAUACGGAGGAUCCAAGCGUUAUCCGGAUUCAUUGGGUUUAAAGGGUCCGUAGGCGGAUUUUUAAGUCAGUGGUGAAAGCCGACAGCUCAACUGUCGAACUGCCAUUGAUACUGGAAAUCUUGAGUACAAAUGAAGUAGGCGGAAUGAGUCAUGUAGCGGUGAAAUGCAUAGAUAUGACUCAGAACACCGAUUGCGAAGGCAGCUUACUAACAUGUAACUGACGCUGAGGGACGAAAGCGUGGGGAGCGAACAGGAUUAGAUACCCUGGUAGUCCACGCCGUAAACGAUCAUCACUCGCUGUUGGCGAUAUACUGUCAGCGGCCAAGCGAAAGUAUUAAGUGAUGCACCUGGGGAGUACGCCGGCAACGGUGAAACUCAAAGGAAUUGACGGGGGCCCGCACAAGCGGUGGAGCAUGUGGUUUAAUUCGAUGAUACGCGAGGAACCUUACCAGGGCUUAAAUGUAGUUUGACCGGCUUGGAAACAGGCCUUCUCUUCGGAGCAGAUUACAAGGUGCUGCAUGGUUGUCGUCAGCUCGUGCCGUGAGGUGUUAGGUUAAGUCCUGCAACGAGCGCAACCCCUAUUCUUAGUUGCCAGCGGUUCGGCCGGGG